Otolemur garnettii (small-eared galago) is the source of this 101-nucleotide non-coding RNA. NCBI's taxonomy places the organism in Eukaryota, Metazoa, Chordata, Mammalia, Primates, Galagidae. The record is from Rfam.
GGCUGGUCUAAGUGUAGUGGUGUUUACAACUAAUUCAUCACAACCAGUUACAGAUUCCUUUGUUUCUUCUUCCCUUCUACUACUUCACUUGAGUGAUAAUU